This 3829-nucleotide long non-coding RNA is filed under the name Sus scrofa (pig). Its description in RNAcentral is "lncRNA (ENSSSCG00035046580.1)". The record is from RNAcentral. Lineage: Eukaryota; Metazoa; Chordata; Mammalia; Artiodactyla; Suidae.
AUGGAGGUUCCCAGGCUAGCGGUCCAACUGGAGCUGCCGCCGUGGGUCUACACCACAGCCAACAGCAACACCAGAUCCAAGCCGAGUCUGUGACCUACAUCACAGCUCACGGCAAUGCAGGAUCUUAACCCACUGAGUGAGGCCAGGGAUCGAAGCUGCGUCCUCAUGGAUACGGCUCGGGUUCUUAACCCACUUAGCCACAGCAGGAACUCCCCAUCUCACUUCUACGCACACAGUCUUAGCAGAGCAGAGUUUCUUGAGCGAUUCAACACUGAAUGUGCAUCUAGCUCGUUCUUUGCAGGAGGCAUGUGGUUCACCUCUCACUGCCCCUCCCCGGGGCCGAGACCGUGAACUCCGCUGGUCCCUUUGCCGUGGGCACAACACAGAGGAAGAGAUGUGGCCGGUGACGGAAACAGGACAGACUGCUGACUCCACACUCCCCACAAGCCCAGACGCAGCGAGAGCAGUGACAGCAGGGCUUCCCACACGGUCAGCAGGAUGGGCGGUUCCUUCCACUUGGGAACGGAACCGAGUUCAGACCCAGCGAGGAACCACAUGCCUCUUUUGUGUCUCAAUUUCCCAGCUAACAAAUGAGGUUUGCAGAGCCCACAGAGUUUCAAGUCACGUGUCCCUUGCGCAGAAAGAAGGCACAGACUCGAAGCAUUUGAAAUGGCUUUGGUGCUGUGACAAUUCCUGUCUCGAACGGCAUCCUAAAAGAUAAUUUCCAGUUUGUCGGAAGCUUCCCUCCUCUGUGUCGUUAUUUCACAGGGAAAUGGACGUGACUUUGACCCUGUUCUAACCCAAGGGCCGUGGGGAAAACCGGCUUUUUACGUCCCGGGAGCCUCAGGUCCAGGUGGCGCAAAACAGGAGGGAAUUUUGUGCUCCUCGCUGGGGUACGGAUGCUGUGUUUUGUGCCCUGCAGAUUUCCUCAGCUUCGUUCAUGAGGCCUGACAAUUCCCAGGCAAGAUGCUGGCUCAGAUGGCAGCCUCGUCCUUAAUGUGGCUUUUGUUUCACAAGCAGCGAAUGCCGAGCUUCCCUCUCUGCGCCUUCUGGGCGUCCUGGUAACGUGGCAGAGGGAGAACUCUAAUUUUCAGCUCUGAUAAAGUGUUUCCAGAAUAAAGUAACAUGUUGUUCAAAUUCCAAACCCACAUGCCUAGAAACUGUAAUUUUCUGAGCGGAUGGCAACUCUCAGCUACAAACAGAAGAAGAGCCCCUGUGCCAAAGCUUCGGCUUUUGAAACACUCCUGGCCCCGAGGCCCAUCCACAGCGGAGCCCGGCAGGGGUGUGGGGCCCGGCAGAACAGAAGCUCCGAGCAUCCCGGCCUGACCCACCACCUGCAGAGCUGCAGACAGAGGUGGGGGGGCUGCUGGCCCCCUGGGGGGCCCUCCAGAGGCGGCCGUCUCUGCUGGUGACCACAGCCCCACCUGCAGCACUGGGGCGCUUGCCUGGGCUCCGGCGUCCCCCGGGAUUUGGUUUCAAGAAGCAAAACAAAUACAAGUUCAAGAGACUUCUUGCUUUCAAAAAAAAAGAAGGGUUAUUUAUAUUGUUGCACCAAUAUUUUUAAUGUACUUUAAGGUAAAAGAAAAUUCCAUAAACAGAGAUUCACAAGUACCCGUCCCUGAGGACCUGGGGGCAGCGAUUCUGCCUCCUCCAGAGUGAAAGGAACCCCCGCGCCGUGGUGCCACUGUGUUGGCCAGGUGGCUCCGAGGACGCGGUCACUCAGAGGGACACGCGUUCCAGUCGGGCCAUUUCCUCUGCGUCCCAGAGACGAAGACGAGGACGAGCCACGGCAGCUUCAGCAAAGCUGUGCCCGCCGAGCACUGUAUAUGCAGACUCACAGACACGCAGACACACAGACACACACGCACACACACUCACACUUGCACACUGACACACACACAGACACACUCGCACACAGACACGUGGUGGACACACACAGUCAGUCACCACAGACACACAGUCACACACACACACACAGCCACUGCGGACACACACCUACACACACAGAUACACAAGCACACACAGAAACACAGCCAUACAUAGAGACACACAUUACCCACACCCACACUCACACACGUAUACACACACGGAGUCAGAGAUGUACAGACACACACAUACACACAGUCAUACUCACACACACACACACACACACACACACACACGUUUCCGGAGCGCUGGGCAGCCUGGCCCCCGCGCGGACGGCGCUAAGCCUCCUCCUUGCGGAGCAGGUUCCAUUGGAGCUGCCCCCUUCCCCAGCCCUCCCCCAUCACCACGGUUCCCUGUCACCUUCUGGGGUCCCUCACCCUCUUCCCAGGACCCUGGCGGAGAGGCCCCUGUGUCCUGCUGGGGUCUCCACGCCCCGUCAGCCCGACCCGGCCGGCAGGUGGGCUUGUCUCCGCCUCUGCCUCACAACCAUCUCCCCAUCCUGCCCCCCUGCUCCCCUCGCAGUCCCCCCAUUUGCUUUCUCCUCCCUCAGGGUCACCGUCGCACACACUGGCCACCGGCCUGACCCCCACUGCGAUCGGGGCAGACAGCACCCUGGGGAGACAGGGAGUCCGUCCAACACCAUUUAAAUCCCUGCGAGUUAAUGGCUGCAGCAAACGUGCAGAACACGAGAGGAAUUUAGAAUCGAAUUCAGCUGGAAAUAACACUGCGACGUCCAGCUACGUGGGCCAGAGUCACGGCAGGAAGGGGGGACCGAAUGGAGGGGACAGGGGUGUAAACCAAGCUGUUCCCAAGACAUGGACACAGCAAGGCGAGAACCAAGGGCAGAGCCAGCCCAGCGAGUACAGGACCAGCCCAGCCUGGCCAUCAAGAAUGUCCUACCUCCCGCUCACACUUCCCGCCCAACCCCCUGCACGAGAUGUGACCUCUGCCAGCUCUGAGGAGUCCCCCAAAUUCACUGGGAAUCCAACCCCAAAUUUAUUUGGGAUGAUAUCAUCAUUUCCGUCGUGAGCACGUGACAUUUAAUCUUGAAAAGAUACGGAAUUAGGGAGUUCCCGUCACGGCGCAGUGGUUAACGAUUCCGACUAGGAACCACGAGGUUGCCGGUUCGAUCCCUGGCCUUGUGCAGUGGGUUAAGGAUCCAGUGUUGCCGUGAGCUGUGGUGUAGGUUGCAGACGCGGCUCGGAUCCUGCGUGGCUGUGGCUCCAGCGUAGGCCAGCAGCUGUAGCUCCGAUUAGACUCCUAGCCUGGGAACCUCCAUAUGCCCAAAAAACAAAACAAAGAAAAGAAAAAGAAAAACUCUGUGAAUAUUUGUUAUUGUUCCUAUUUGUUAUGUUUAAGAGGAUUUUGUUGCUCAAAUGUCGUCAAACUUGUAAUUUUUAUUUUUUUUUUUUUUUACUGCUGUACCUACAGCAUAUGGAGGUUCCCAGGCCAAGGGUCAAAUCGGAGCUGCAGCUGCUGGCCUACACCACAGCCACAGCAAGUCCAGAUUCUCAAUACACUGAGCCAGGCCAGGAAUCGAAACUGCAUCCUCACAGAGUCAACGUCGGAUCCUUAAUUCACUGAGCCACAAUGGGAACUCCUUCUUUGAGUUUUUAAUAGGACCAAAGAUUAAUCAAAGGCCCUCUUUGAAAAGUUACUCAAUAGUACUAGAUUCACUGUUGAAAAUAAGCUUUGCAGGUUGAAUGUCACAUACAAAGGGCACGAAAGGACACUGCUGUUGUGCUAAUGAAACGACAUUUAAAUAUUCACCGAGUUCCAUUAUAAAUGGAUUUCUUAGGAGACACAUCUGCAAGGACCACCUUUUCUUCCCCUGAAAAGACCAUCUCAGUCUUCAUGAGCACACGCUCACAAGAGAAGCCGAGGGGCCAGUCUGAGCUCAAGG